UACGGGGGGGGCAAGCGUUGUUCGGAAUUACUGGGCGUAAAGGGCGCGUAGGCGGUUGGAUAAGUCAGCUGUGAAAACCACGGGCUUAACUCGUGGCCUGCAGUUGAGACUGUCUGGCUUGAGUGUGGGAGAGGAGAGUGGAAUUCCUGGUGUAGCGGUGAAAUGCGUAGAUAUCAGGAGGAACACCGGUGGCGAAGGCGGCUCUCUGGACCACAACUGACGCUGAGGCGCGAAAGCGUGGGUAGCAAACAGG
Molecule: ribosomal RNA, 253 nt
Filed under: uncultured bacterium
Lineage: Bacteria
Description: partial 16S ribosomal RNA
Rfam family: Bacterial small subunit ribosomal RNA
Source: RNAcentral